GACGAACGCUGGCGGCGUGCUUAACACAUGCAAGCCGAACGGAAAGGCCCUGCUUUUGUGGGGUGCUCGAGUGGCGAAAGGGUGAGUAACACGUGAGUAACCUGCCCUUGACUUUGGGAUAACUUCAGGAAACUGGGGCUAAUGCCGGAUAGGAGCUCCUGCUGCAUGGUGGGGGUUGGAAAGUUUCGGCGGUUGGGGAUGGACUCGCGGCUUAUCAGCUUGUUGGUGGGGUAGUGGCUUACCAAGGCUUUGACGGGUAGCCGGCCUGAGAGGGUGACCGGCCACAUUGGGCCUGAGAUGCGGCCCAGACUCCUACGGGAGGCAGCAGUGGAGAAUAUUGCGCAAUGGGCGGAAGCCUGGUGGAGGAACGCCGCGUGCGGGAUGACGGCCUUCGGGUUGUAAACAGCUUUCGACUGUGACGAAGCGUGAGUGACGGUAAUGGGUAAAGAAGCACCGGCAAACUACGU
Molecule: ribosomal RNA, 467 nt
Filed under: uncultured bacterium
Lineage: Bacteria
Description: partial 16S ribosomal RNA
Rfam family: Bacterial small subunit ribosomal RNA
Source: RNAcentral